AUGCCCCCGAAGGCAUCCCCUCUUUCGUCUACUUCCAUCGAUAACUUUACUUGGAGCUAUAUUUUUAUUCACCACAUGAUAUGUGUUUUGCUUGGAGCGUCAAUUUAUUUUGUUAAGAUUUUCUUGCUGUUAUUUAGAACAAUGUUUUGCAUCUUUUAUUUCAGUAAAAGUGGCAUUGAUAGCCUUUACUAUGCCUAUGUUAGAAGUCCACAUAUUGCUGUUUGGAAACAGAAAGUUUAUCGCUGUUGCAAUAAUUCCCUAGAAAAGUCAGAAUGUGAUAAAAUGUUGAAACCUUUUGCAUAUUAA
RNAcentral lists this ribosomal RNA (306 nucleotides) under Triticum aestivum (bread wheat). Its description in RNAcentral is "partial small subunit ribosomal RNA". The record is from RNAcentral. Lineage: Eukaryota; Viridiplantae; Streptophyta; Magnoliopsida; Poales; Poaceae.